CACUUUUGGUCCUUGACGCUCUGUUGUCUAUAGCCUAAAUUACACAUGCAAGCCUCCACGCCCCAGUGAGGAAGCCCACAAGCUCUGUUUGAGCAAUGGAGACGGCAUCAGGCACGCCACCCGCAGCCCGCCACGCCACGCAAAUUGCCACACCCACAAGGGCCUCAGCAGUGAACAACAUUAAGAAAUUAGCGGAAGCUUGACUUAGUUAGGGCUAAGAAUGGCCGGUAAAUCCCGUGCCAGCCACCGCGGUUAUACGAGAGGCCAGAGACAACAGCAUUUGGCGUAAAGCGUGACUAGAGUGAAACCCGUACUUUAAGGGGGUACCUCUUCUAAGCUGUGAAACCCACAAGAAACAAGAACCACAUUAACCCUUAACAAAAAGAUAGCUUAAACUCACGAAAGUUGAGACACAAACUGGGAUUAGAUACCCCACUAUGCCCAACCAUAAACUUCAACAGCCAGAAAUCUUAAGCUGUUCGCCCGGGGAUUACAAGCAAAAGCUCAAAACCCAAAGGACUUGGCGGUGCCCCACACCAAACUAGAGGAGCCUGUCCCAUAAUCGAUACCCCACGAUAGACCUUACCCCCUUUUGUUUAAUUCAGCCUAUAUACCGCCGUCGUCAGCCUACCACAUGAGAGCACAGCAGUGGGCCCAACAGUACACGCAAACACGCCAGGUCAAGGUGUAGCUAACAGGGCGGCGGAGAUGGGCUACAUUUCUAAACUCGGAUAAACACGAAAGGCACACUGAAAAACCGAGCCAGAAGGUGGAUUUAGCAGUAAAAUAGUUAAGACCCACUACUUGAAGUGCGCUCUAGGGCACGCACACACCGCCCGUCACCCUCCUCAACGCACACUACUUUUAACCUAUACAACCAACGCGAUAAGAUGAGGCAAGUCGUAACAAGGUAAGCGCACUGGAAAGUGCGCUUGGAAU
This 939-nucleotide non-coding RNA is filed under the name Lepidophyma flavimaculatum (yellow-spotted night lizard). RNAcentral describes it as "12S rRNA". It matches the Rfam family "Bacterial small subunit ribosomal RNA". Lineage: Eukaryota; Metazoa; Chordata; Lepidosauria; Squamata; Xantusiidae. The record is from RNAcentral.